UGGGGGAUAUUGCACAAUGGGCGAAAGCCUGAUGCAGCGACGCCGCGUGGGGGAUGAAGGCCUUCGGGUUGUAAACUUCUUUUGCCCUGAACAAGGCGCACCAUGGGGUGUGUUGAGUGUAGGGGUUGAUUAGCGCCGGCUAACUACGUGCCAGCAGCCGCGGUAAUACGUAGGGCGCGAGCGUUGUCCGGAAUUAUUGGGCGUAAAGGGCUUGUAGGUGGCUGGUUGCGUCUGUCGUGAAAGCUCAUGGCUUAACUGUGGGUUUGCGGUGGGUACGGGCUGGCUUGAGUGCAGUAGGGGAGGCUGGAAUUCCUGGUGUAGCGGUGGAAUGCGCAGAUAUCAGGAGGAAUACCGGUGGCGAAGGCGGGUCUCUGGGCUGUUACUGACACUGAGGAGCGAAAGCAUGGGGAGCGAACAGG
This 419-nucleotide ribosomal RNA is filed under the name bacterium. Its description in RNAcentral is "partial 16S ribosomal RNA". It matches the Rfam family "Bacterial small subunit ribosomal RNA", at positions 355 to 776 of the family's 1533-position model. The record is from RNAcentral.